CGCCCCGCAAGGGGAGCGGCAGACGGGUGAGUAACGCGUGGGAAUCUACCCAUCUCUACGGAACAACUCCGGGAAACUGGAGCUAAUACCGUAUACGUCCUUAUGGAGAAAGAUUUAUCGGAGAUGGAUGAGCCCGCGUUGGAUUAGCUAGUUGGUGGGGUAAUGGCCUACCAAGGCGACGAUCCAUAGCUGGUCUGAGAGGAUGAUCAGCCACACUGGGACUGAGACACGGCCCAGACUCCUACGGGAGGCAGCAGUGGGGAAUGUUGGACAAUGGGCGCAAGCCUGAUCCAGCCAUGCCGCGUGAGUGAUGAAGGCCCUAGGGUUGUAAAGCUCUUUCAACGGUGAAGAUAAUGACGGUAACCGUAGAAGAAGCCCCGGCUAACUUCGUGCCAGCAGCCGCGGUAAUACGAAGGGGGCUAGCGUUGUUCGGAAUUACUGGGCGUAAAGCGCACGUAGGCGGAUACUUAAGUCAGGGGUGAAAUCCCGGGGCUCAACCCCGGAACUGCCUUUGAUACUGGGUAUCUGGAGUCCGGAAGAGGUGAGUGGAAUUCCGAGUGUAGAGGUGAAAUUCGUAGAUAUUCGGAGGAACACCAGUGGCGAAUGCGGCUCACUGGUCCGGUACUGACGCUGAGGUGCGAAAGCGUGGGGAGCACACAGGAUUAGAUACCCUGGUAGUCCACGCCGUUAACGAUGGAAGCUAGCCGUUGGCCAGUUUACUUGUCGGUGGCGCAGCUAACGCAUUAUGCUUCCCGCCUGGGGAGUACGGUCGCCAGAUUAAUACUCAGAUGAAUUGACGGGG
RNAcentral lists this ribosomal RNA (802 nucleotides) under uncultured Alphaproteobacteria bacterium. RNAcentral describes it as "bacterial SSU rRNA". It matches the Rfam family "Bacterial small subunit ribosomal RNA", at positions 67 to 918 of the family's 1533-position model. The record is from RNAcentral. Lineage: Bacteria; Pseudomonadati; Pseudomonadota; Alphaproteobacteria.